This 530-nucleotide long non-coding RNA is filed under the name Felis catus (domestic cat). RNAcentral describes it as "lncRNA (ENSFCAG00000042184.2)". Lineage: Eukaryota; Metazoa; Chordata; Mammalia; Carnivora; Felidae. The record is from RNAcentral.
UGAGCGGCCAGAUGGGUGUCCUCAACUGCAUUUUACAGAAGACACAGCUGAAACCCAAUCACCUGCCCAAGGUCAAACUCUGAGAAGGUGGUGAGUCCCCGAAUCCUCGUGGGAUGUGCUGCCACCAGCAUGAGCUGCUUUAUGAAAUCGACGCACCGACACUCAGAUUCUGAGGUUCCAACUCAAAUGAGAUGGGCUCACAAAGCACAAGAUGGCCUCCCAUAUGAGAUCAGAUGUCGCCCUCAUUGAGGGAAAGGAAUGUGCUUACAACGCAGCAGACCCUCAAUGUCGUUGAACGUGUGAAUACUGCUGGAUUUUUCCGACACUGGCUUAUCUUGGAGUCAGAUCCCUCCUGAGGAAGGUUCAUGCUUCUGGGACUCAGGCCAGUUUGGGGUUCCUCUACUUCUCCAUCACCUGUGUUCUCCUCUGUAUGUGGCAUUACCCUGGUAAUUAAAGGCUGCAUGCACACAGGAAGCCAAGAAAAACUGAAGAACUGGAUGGAAAAGACAGAAUCCAUUGACCAGAGAUAG